UACGUAGGGUGCAAGCGUUAAUCGGAAUUACUGGGCGUAAAGCGUGCGCAGGCGGCUAUAUAAGACUGAUGUGAAAUCCCCGGGCUCAACCUGGGAACUGCAUUGGUGACUGUAUAGCUGGAGUGCGGCAGAGGGGGAUGGAAUUCCGCGUGUAGCAGUGAAAUGCGUAGAUAUGCGGAGGAACACCGAUGGCGAAGGCAAUCCCCUGGGCCUGCACUGACGCUCAUGCACGAAAGCGUGGGGAGCAAAC
This 250-nucleotide ribosomal RNA is filed under the name uncultured bacterium. RNAcentral's name for it is "partial 16S ribosomal RNA". It matches the Rfam family "Bacterial small subunit ribosomal RNA", at positions 524 to 773 of the family's 1533-position model. The record is from RNAcentral.